UUUAGUUCAAAACCCCGAAACUAAGUGAGCUACCCCGAGACAGCCUAUCAAUUAGGGCCAACCCAUCUCUGUGGCAAAAGAGUGGGAAGAGCUCCGGGUAGAGGUGACAAACCUACCGAACUUAGUUAUAGCUGGUUACCUAAGAAAUGAAUAAAAGUUCAGCCUCGCACUCCUUGCCUCACAAACAUCUAAAACCACACGAGCCAAAGAAAUAUGCGAGAGUUAGUCAAAGGGGGUACAGCCCCUUUGAAACAGGACACAACCUCGUGCAGGAGGUUAAAGAUUAUACUAAACAAGAUACACCGCUUUAGUGGGCCUAAAAGCAGCCACCUAGACAGAUAGCGUUAAAGCUCCAGCGGACUAAAAAUCUAUUAUCCAAAUAAUUUAUCUAAAACCCCUAACAAUAUUAGGUCGCCCCAUGCCUACAUGGAAGAGAUACUGCUAAAAUGAGUAAUAAGAAGGAACCCCCUUCUCCUAGCCUACGUGUAUAUUAGAUCGGACCCCCCACUAAUAAUUAUCGAGCCCAACCAAAGAGGGCAAUGUGAUAGCACUAAACAACAAGAAAACAUCACACCACCAAAUCGUUAAUCCCACACCGGAAGGCCCACAAGGAAAGACUAAAAGAAAAGGAAGGAACUCGGCAAACCCAAGCCUCGCCUGUUUACCAAAAACAUCGCCUCCUGCAAAAAUCAAUGUAUAGGAGGUCCUACCUGCCCAGUGACAAGUUAAACGGCCGCGGUAUUUUGACCGUGCGAAGGUAGCGCAAUCACUUGUCUUUUAAAUGAAGACCUGUAUGAAUGGUGGAACGAGGGCUUAACUGUCUCCCCUUUCCAGUCAAUGAAAUUGAUCUGCCCGUGCAGAAGCGGACAUAUUAGUACAAGACGAGAAGACCCUUUGGAGCUUAAGAUAAAAGAUCAACUAUGUCAAGAAACUAAAAACAUAGCUUAAACUAAAUAGCAGCUGAUCCUUAUCUUCAGUUGGGGCGACUGCGGAAGAAAACAAAGCUUCCACGAGGAUUGGGAUAAAUAACCUAAAGCCGAGAAAGACACUUCUAAGCCACAGAACAUCUGACCAUAUAAGAUCCGGCCACCCGCCGAUCAACGGACCAAGUUACCCUAGGGAUAACAGCGCAAUCCCCUUUCAGAGUUCAUAUCGACAAGGGGGUUUACGACCUCGAUGUUGGAUCAGGACAUCCUAAUGGUGCAGCCGCU
Molecule: ribosomal RNA, 1211 nt
Filed under: Silurus asotus (Amur catfish)
Lineage: Eukaryota; Metazoa; Chordata; Actinopteri; Siluriformes; Siluridae
Description: partial 16S ribosomal RNA
Rfam family: Bacterial large subunit ribosomal RNA
Source: RNAcentral